GAUGAACGCUGGCGGCGUGCCUAAUACAUGCAAGUCGAGCGAACAGACGAGGAUCGGGCUCCUCUGACGUGAGCGGCGGACGGGUGAGUAACACGUGGAUAACCUACGUAUAAGACUGGGAUAACUGCGGGAAACCGGAGCUAAGACCGGAUAAUAUAUUGAACCGCAGGGGUCAAGAGUGAAAGACGGUUUUGCUGUCACUUAUAGGUGGAUCCGCGCCGCAUUAGCUAGGUGGUAAGGUAACGGCUUAACAAGGCAACGAUGCGUAGCCGACCUGAGAGGCGGAUCGGCCACACUGGAGCGGGGACACGGACCAGACUCCUACGGGAGGCAGCAGUAGGGAAUCUUCCGCAAUAGGCGAAAGCAUGACGGAGCGACGCCGCGCCAGAGAUGAAGGCCCUCGGAUCGUAAAAAUCUGUUAUUAGGGAAGAACAACUGUGUAAGUAAACAUGGCCGUGUUGAAGGUAACUAAUCAGAAAGCCACGGCCAAAUAAGUGC
RNAcentral lists this ribosomal RNA (498 nucleotides) under uncultured bacterium. RNAcentral describes it as "partial 16S ribosomal RNA". It matches the Rfam family "Bacterial small subunit ribosomal RNA", at positions 28 to 508 of the family's 1533-position model. The record is from RNAcentral.